AAUCAACGCUGGCGGCGUGCCUCAGACAUGCAAGUCGAACGCGAAAUUUCCCUUCGGGGAGAAAGUAGAGUGGCGUCCGGGUGAGUAACACGUGGGUAAUCUACCUUCGGGUGGGGAAUAACAGUCGGAAACGACUGCUAAUACCGCAUAAUGCAGCGGCACCUAAUGGUGACAGUUGUUAAAGCGGGGGAUCGCAAGACCUCGCGCCUGAAGAGGAGCCCGCGGCGGAUUAGCUAGUUGGCAGGGUAACGGCCUACCAAGGCGACGAUCCGUAGCCGGCCUGAGAGGGCGGUCGGCCACACUGGCACUGACACACGGGCCAGACUCCUACGGGAGGCAGCAGUCGGGAAUUUUGGGCAAUGGGCGCAAGCCUGACCCAGCAACGCCGCGUGAAGGAUGAAGUAUUUCGGUAU
RNAcentral lists this ribosomal RNA (413 nucleotides) under uncultured bacterium. RNAcentral describes it as "bacterial SSU rRNA". It matches the Rfam family "Bacterial small subunit ribosomal RNA", at positions 32 to 424 of the family's 1533-position model. The record is from RNAcentral.